This 421-nucleotide ribosomal RNA is filed under the name uncultured bacterium. RNAcentral describes it as "bacterial SSU rRNA". It matches the Rfam family "Bacterial small subunit ribosomal RNA", at positions 791 to 1209 of the family's 1533-position model. The record is from RNAcentral.
UAGUCCACGCUGUAAACGAUGUUCACUCGCUGUCGGCGAUACACAGUCGGCGGCUGAGCGAAAGCAUUAAGUGAACCACCUGGGGAGUACGAUCGCAAGGUUGAAACUCAAAGGAAUUGACGGGGGGCCCGCGACAAGCGGAGGAACAUGUGGUUUAAUUCGAUUGAUACGCGAGGAACCUUACCUGGGCUUAAAUGUAGAUUGCAUAAUUUAGAAAUUAGAUUUUCCCUUCGGGGCUAUUUACAAGGUGCUGCAUGGUUGUCGUCAGCUCGUGCCGUGAGGUGUCGGGUUAAGUCCCAUAACGAGCGCAACCCCUAUCGUUAGUUGCUAGCAGGUAAUGCUGAGGACUCUAGCGAGACUGCCACCGUAAGGUGAGAGGAAGGUGGGGAUGACGUCAAAUCAGCACGGGCCCUUAGUGUCC